UGGUAGAGCUCAGUGGAAAAGCACUUGCCUUGCAUGCAUGAGCCCCUGGGUUCAAUUUCCAGAACCACUAA
This 71-nucleotide transfer RNA is filed under the name Marmota monax (woodchuck). RNAcentral describes it as "tRNA.Ala". It matches the Rfam family "tRNA". From Rfam's summary of the family: Transfer RNA (tRNA) molecules are approximately 80 nucleotides in length. Their secondary structure includes four short double-helical elements and three loops (D, anti-codon, and T loops). The record is from RNAcentral. Lineage: Eukaryota; Metazoa; Chordata; Mammalia; Rodentia; Sciuridae.